RNAcentral lists this unclassified non-coding RNA (387 nucleotides) under soil metagenome. Its description in RNAcentral is "partial contains 5.8S ribosomal RNA, internal transcribed spacer 2, and large subunit ribosomal RNA". The stretch from base 1 to 120 matches the Rfam family "5.8S ribosomal RNA", at positions 35 to 154 of the family's 154-position model. The record is from RNAcentral.
GAUGAAGAACGUAGCGAGAUGCGAUAAGUAAUGUGAAUUGCAGAAUUCAGUGAAUCAUAGAAUCUUUGAACGCACCUUGCACCCUUUGGAAUUCCAAAGGGUAUGCUCGUUUGAGUGUCAUUGUACUCUCACACUCUCCGAUCCUUUGGAUUUGGGGAGCGGUGGACUUGGGUGCUUGCUGCUUUCAUUGUGGCUCACCUCAAAUGUGUCAGAGCAUCUCUUGAUUGGACAUAGUACGGCGUGAAAUGUGUCUUCGCCGGCACCUCAUAAGAGGGUGGCCGAUCAGGAGCUCUGUGCUUUCAAACUGUCUUCGGACAAUCUCUGACAACUUGACCUCAAAUCGAGUAGGACUACCCGCUGAACUUAAGCAUAUCAAUAAGCGGAGGA